CAAUUGCGUAUAUUUAAGUUGCUGCAGUUAAAAAGCUCGUAGUUGGAUUUCGGGUGGGAAUGGCCGGUCCGCCGUUUCGGUGUGCACUUGCUACGCCCACCUUGCUGCCGGGGACGUGCUCUUGAGUUCACGCUCGGGACACGGAGUCGGCGAGGUUACUUUGAGUAAAUUAGAGUGUUCAAAGCAGGCCUACGCUCUGAAUACAUUAGCAUGGAAUAACACGAUAGGACUCUGGCCUAUCUUGUUGGUCUGUAGGACCGGAGUAAUGAUUAAGAGGGACAGUCGGGGGCAUUCGUAUUUCAUUGUCAGAGGUGAAAUUCUUGGAUUUAUGAAAGACGAACUACUGCGAAAGCAUUUGCCAAGGAUGUUUUCAUUAA
RNAcentral lists this ribosomal RNA (377 nucleotides) under uncultured eukaryote. Its description in RNAcentral is "partial 18S ribosomal RNA". It matches the Rfam family "Eukaryotic small subunit ribosomal RNA", at positions 592 to 976 of the family's 1831-position model. The record is from RNAcentral.